RNAcentral lists this transfer RNA (87 nucleotides) under Tilletia horrida. RNAcentral describes it as "tRNA-Leu". It matches the Rfam family "tRNA". From Rfam's summary of the family: Transfer RNA (tRNA) molecules are approximately 80 nucleotides in length. The record is from RNAcentral. Lineage: Eukaryota; Fungi; Basidiomycota; Exobasidiomycetes; Tilletiales; Tilletiaceae.
GGCCGCUUAGCCAAGUGGUAAGGCAUCGGCUUUAGGGAUUCGUGUGAUGACCGCCGAGAUGCGCGUGUUCGAUCCACGCAGUGGUCA